CCCAAGGCCACCUUCGUGGGCACACGACCCGAGCAGUCACACAGGACCCUGUGAUCAGAAUGGCCUCACUUGGGUUUAAUACUCUGCUGUCUUCAUCUUAAAAUUCUUAAUAAUUUAAUGUUUGAGCCCGUGCUUUGUAAGUGAAGUCUGAUGGAACAACGGAGCAUGCGCGUGAGUAGAGGAGAUACAGACGAUACGUGUGUCUGAGUUUUUUGUGGCUCCAUUAGCAUAUGGUGUUGAUGAUGCCCCCUGAGCACAGAAUUCUGGUGAGCCCACAAUGCAUGGGAGUUCAGCGAGAUUCAAUGCCAGUACAAGGUCCACUUUUGGAAACUCCCAUCAUGCCUCCUGCCUAUGGAUCAUCUCUUUGGCUGAGAACCGAGCUAACUCACUCAAGAUCCCAAUUAGUGACUCCUCAUGAGAUGGAAGUAAUUCUCCGGCAUCGUCCUCAUUUGAUUUCAGAAAAUCCAGCAGUUCUGGACUUCACAGUUGCACCACACGGUAUUGGGCUGUGGUCUGCUUCCUGGCAACCAAAGGGCAGGACAUAGCCAACCAUACAACUGCAGAGAUCCACAGAGCUACCGUUUGAGGAAUAAGGAACCCUGUACAUAGCCAGGGGCAUUCUAAAAUCCCCAAACUUGAAUCCUACUUCCGACUUUGCUAGGACACCGCAGGAAUUACCAUCAAAGAAGGAAAAAGAUGCACAGAAGUUUCCCAUUCGACAGCUACGAUUCUACAACCCCAUAGUCUUUCUAAACCACAGGCUGCAUUUUC
Molecule: long non-coding RNA, 771 nt
Filed under: Homo sapiens (human)
Lineage: Eukaryota; Metazoa; Chordata; Mammalia; Primates; Hominidae
Description: HSALNT0407314
Source: RNAcentral